This 82-nucleotide transfer RNA is filed under the name Elusimicrobia bacterium CG08_land_8_20_14_0_20_44_26. Its description in RNAcentral is "tRNA-Leu". It matches the Rfam family "tRNA". Rfam says of the family: Transfer RNA (tRNA) molecules are approximately 80 nucleotides in length. Their secondary structure includes four short double-helical elements and three loops (D, anti-codon, and T loops). The record is from RNAcentral. Lineage: Bacteria; Pseudomonadati; Elusimicrobiota.
GCCGGAGUGGCGAAACUGGCAGACGCGUACGGCUUAGGACCGUAUGGGAAAACCCUUGGGAGUUCAACUCUCCCCUCCGGCA